AUAUAACAUUCUUUGAUUGAUUUCUUUUGAUUUAGGGUUUCAUUUGUUGAUUAUUUUUUUCUGAUUUUACUCAGUUCGGCGACGAAUCGGUUGAUUACUGCAAAGGAUCAUGCUGCGGUCCAACCUAACAUUGGGUACAUAGAUGAGAACGAGAUUUACAUUGGCUAGUUCUCCACUUUUGCGCUCUCUGUUUUCAUUAGAGCUCAGAUCGGAUAUCAAACUGGAAGAAUGUUGUAGUUGCUUAUGAGCUAGUUUGGGCUAUUAGAACUGGCAAGGUCGCAACCCCGGCUCAGGCCCAGGAAGAUGAAGGUUGUGAGGUGAUGGAUGGUGAAGGGAAGAAUAUAUUGGAUAGAAUCAGUUGGAAGGAGACAAAGCAUUGGGAAAGACUCGAUGAAGGAAGAACUCAUCUUGAUAAUUAAUGGGCUCAUCAUGAUUUUUAUCAUUCAAAGUUUAAUUAUUCAUGGUUUAUUGCUUUAUUGUCAUAGGUUUUUGAAUAGGUUUUUAUUUGUUAGAUUUGCAUUUCACUUAAGAGUUGUAGAAUGUGGAGAAGUUGUGAACCUUGUAGAUGGUCUAAACUCAAAGUUUUAUAGUUGAUUAUUACUUCAUUGAAUUUAUCGACAAAGCUUGUAUCAAACACAUAUUAUUUUUUAAUUGAUUAAGUUAAUUUCUUAUUUA
This is a long non-coding RNA of Asparagus officinalis (garden asparagus), 675 nucleotides long. RefSeq lists it as uncharacterized. NCBI's taxonomy places the organism in Eukaryota, Viridiplantae, Streptophyta, Magnoliopsida, Asparagales, Asparagaceae. The record is from RefSeq and is a predicted model, not a curated record. The transcript has 3 exons.